GUUACUUCACAGUCGUUCUUCACUGGCUAGCUUUAUGUGGCAGCACCUUAAAGCUGCCAGUUGAAGAGCUGUUGUGGGUAAC
Danio rerio (zebrafish) is the source of this 82-nucleotide microRNA precursor. Ensembl annotates it as microRNA 22b. Its record names the gene mir22b. The record is from Ensembl. Lineage: Eukaryota; Metazoa; Chordata; Actinopteri; Cypriniformes; Danionidae.